This 730-nucleotide ribosomal RNA is filed under the name uncultured bacterium. RNAcentral describes it as "bacterial SSU rRNA". It matches the Rfam family "Bacterial small subunit ribosomal RNA", at positions 94 to 820 of the family's 1533-position model. The record is from RNAcentral.
AGUGGCGAACGGGUGAGUAACAUAUCGGAACGUAUCCAAUAAUGGGGGAUAACUAAUCGAAAGGUUGGCUAAUACCGCAUACGCCCUACGGGGGAAAGCAGGGGAUCUUCGGACCUUGCGUUAAUGGAGCGGCCGAUAUCUGAUUAGCUAGUUGGUGGGGUAAAGGCCCACCAAGGCGACGAUCAGUAGCUGGUCUGAGAGGACGACCAGCCACACUGGAACUGAGACACGGUCCAGACUCCUACGGGAGGCAGCAGUGGGGAAUUUUGGACAAUGGGCGCAAGCCUGAUCCAGCCAUUCCGCGUGAGUGAAGAAGGCCUUCGGGUUGUAAAGCUCUUUCGCAAGGGAAGAAACGAUACUGGUGAAUAUCCAGUGUUAAUGACGGUACCUUGAUAAGAAGCACCGGCUAACUACGUGCCAGCAGCCGCGGUAAUACGUAGGGUGCGAGCGUUAAUCGGAAUUACUGGGCGUAAAGCGUGCGCAGGCGGUUUUGUAAGUCAGAUGUGAAAUCCCCGAGCUCAACUUGGGAACUGCGUUUGAAACUACAAGACUAGAAUAGGUCAGAGGGGGGUAGAAUUCCACGUGUAGCAGUGAAAUGCGUAGAGAUGUGGAGGAAUAUCAAUGGCGAAGGCAGCCCCCUGGGAUCAUAUUGACGCUCAUGCACGAAAGCGUGGGGAGCAAACAGGAUUAGAUACCCUGGUAGUCCACGCCCUAAACGAUGUCAACUAGU